AACGAACGCUGGCGGCGUGCCUAACACAUGCAAGUCGAGCGAGAACGGGGGGCAACCCCCUAGUACAGCGGCGCACGGGUGAGUAACACGUAGGUACCUACCUCCGAGCUUGGGAUAACCUGCCGAAAGGUGGGCUAAUACCGGAUAUGACCACGGGAGCUUCGGCUCCUGCGGUGAAAGGUGGCCUCUGCUUGCAAGCUACCACUCAGAGAUGGGCCUGCGCGCCAUUAGCUAGUUGGCGGGGUAACGGCCCACCAAGGCUAUGAUGGCUAGCUGGUCUGAGAGGAUGGCCAGCCACACUGGGACUGACACACGGCCCAGACUCCUACGGAGGCAGCAGUGGGGGAUAUUGCGCAAUGGGCG
This 363-nucleotide ribosomal RNA is filed under the name uncultured bacterium. RNAcentral describes it as "bacterial SSU rRNA". It matches the Rfam family "Bacterial small subunit ribosomal RNA", at positions 29 to 377 of the family's 1533-position model. The record is from RNAcentral.